This 490-nucleotide ribosomal RNA is filed under the name uncultured bacterium. Its description in RNAcentral is "partial 16S ribosomal RNA". It matches the Rfam family "Bacterial small subunit ribosomal RNA", at positions 30 to 507 of the family's 1533-position model. The record is from RNAcentral.
AUUGAACGCUGGCGGCAGGCCUAACACAUGCAAGUCGAACGGUAACAGGAAGCAGCUUGCUGCUUUGCUGACGAGUGGCGGACGGGUGAGUAAUGUCUGGGAAACUGCCUGAUGGAGGGGGAUAACUACUGGAAACGGUAGCUAAUACCGCAUAACGUCGCAAGACCAAAGAGGGGGACCUUCGGGCCUCUUGCCAUCGGAUGUGCCCAGAUGGGAUUAGCUAGUAGGUGGGGUAACGGCUCACCUAGGCGACGAUCCCUAGCUGGUCUGAGAGGAUGACCAGCCACACUGGAACUGAGACACGGUCCAGACUCCUACGGGAGGCAGCAGUGGGGAAUAUUGCACAAUGGGCGCAAGCCUGAUGCAGCCAUGCCGCGUGUAUGAAGAAGGCCUUCGGGUUGUAAAGUACUUUCAGCGGGGAUGAAGGGAGUAAAGUUAAUACCUUUGCUCAUUGACGUUACCCGCAGAAGAAGCACCGGCUAACUCCGUG